CCUACGGGAGACAGCAGUGAGGAAUAUUGGUCAAUGGACGAGAGUCUGAACCAGCCAAGUAGCGUGAAGGAUGACUGCCCUAUGGGUUGUAAACUUCUUUUAUAUGGGAAUAAAACGUUCCACGUGUGGGAUUUUGUAUGUACCAUAUGAAUAAGGAUCGGCUAACUCCGUGCCAGCAGCCGCGGUAAUACGGAGGAUCCGAGCGUUAUCCGGAUUUAUUGGGUUUAAAGGGAGCGUAGGUGGAUUGUUAAGUCAGUUGUGAAAGUUUGCGGCUCAACCGUAAAAUUGCAGUUGAAACUGGCAGUCUUGAGUACAGUAGAGGUGGGCAGAAUUCGUGGUGUAGCGGUGAAAUGCUUAGAUAUCACGAAGAACUCCGAUUGCGAAGGCAGUUCACUGGACUGCAACUGACACUGAGGCUCGAAAGUGUGGGUAUCAAACAGGAUUAGAUACCCCAGUAGUC
Molecule: ribosomal RNA, 460 nt
Filed under: uncultured bacterium
Lineage: Bacteria
Description: partial 16S ribosomal RNA
Rfam family: Bacterial small subunit ribosomal RNA
Source: RNAcentral